GAUGAACGCUGGCGGCGUGCUUAACACAUGCAAGUCGAACGGAAAGGCCCUGAUUUUGUGGGGUGCUCGAGUGGCGAACGGGUGAGUAACACGUGAGUAUCCUGCCCUUGACUUUGGGAUAACUUCAGGUAACUGGGGCUAAUAUCGGAUAGGAGCUCCUGCUGCAUGGUGGGCGUUGGAAAGUUUCGGCGGUCGGGGAUGGACUCGCGGCUUAUCAGCUUGUUGGUGGGGUAGUGGCUUACCCAGGCUGUGACGGGUAGCCGGCCUGUGAGGGUGACCGGCCACAUUGGGACUGAGAUACGGCCCAGACUCCUACGGGAGGCAGCAGUGGGAAAUAUUGCACAAUGGGCGGAAGCCUGAGGCAGCAACGCCGCGUGCGUGAUGACGGCCUUCGGGUUGUAAACCGCUUUCGCCUGUGACGAAGCGUGAGUGACGGUAAUGGGUAAAGAAGCACCGGCUAACUACGUG
Molecule: ribosomal RNA, 468 nt
Filed under: uncultured bacterium
Lineage: Bacteria
Description: partial 16S ribosomal RNA
Rfam family: Bacterial small subunit ribosomal RNA
Source: RNAcentral